AGUGAACGCUGGCGGCGUGCCUAAUACAUGCAAGUCGAACGGAAUUUAAAAGAGCUUGCUCUUUUAAAUUUAGUGGCGCACGGGUGAGUAAUAUAUAGCUAAUCUGCCCCUUGCUGGAGGACAACAGUUAGAAAUGACUGCUAAUACUCCAUACUCCUUUUUACCAUAAGAUAAAUCGGGAAAGAAUUUCGGCAAGGGAUGAGACUAUAUCGUAUCAGCUAGUCGGUGGGGUAACGGCCUACCGAGGCUAUGACGCGUAACUGGUCUGAGAGGAUGAUCAGUCACAUUGGAACUGAGACACGGUCCAAACUCCUACGGGAGGCAGCAGUAGGGAAUAUUGCGCAAUGGGGGAAACCCUGACGCAGCAACGCCGCGUGGAGGAUGACA
Molecule: ribosomal RNA, 387 nt
Filed under: Campylobacter gracilis
Lineage: Bacteria; Pseudomonadati; Campylobacterota; Epsilonproteobacteria; Campylobacterales; Campylobacteraceae
Description: bacterial SSU rRNA
Rfam family: Bacterial small subunit ribosomal RNA
Source: RNAcentral